RNAcentral lists this ribosomal RNA (1638 nucleotides) under Triticum aestivum (bread wheat). RNAcentral's name for it is "partial small subunit ribosomal RNA". The record is from RNAcentral. Lineage: Eukaryota; Viridiplantae; Streptophyta; Magnoliopsida; Poales; Poaceae.
AUGGACUCCGGCGCCAACAGCGUCGGCUCCGUCGGCGAGUCGCCGCCGCCGCUCUCCCCGCCGGGUCGCCCGGCCGCCAAGGGCCGCGGCCUCCGCCGGUGGCGCCGUAUCCCCCGCGAGCACCACGACGACGACGGCGGCUCCCCCGCGGGCCCCGUCGCCGCCUCAGCCGCCGCUGGCGCUGCUAGCGCUGAGGUCGACCUGGCGCAGCUCCAUAAGCGCCGUCUCCCCGUCGGCGCCGACGCGCCCAAGGGGAAGCAGGAGGCGGCGGCCGAGGAGGAUAGUCCGGUCGCGUCGGUCGAGUCCAGCUUCGUGCCGCCGGAGGCGCCUCCGUCGCCGUCCCCAGCUCCGGCUCUGACUCGUCUGGACCCGGAUCUUGGCCUCCUGAUCGCGUCCGCCGGCUUCUCGGUGGGCGCCGGCGGCGCCGACUCGGACAACAGCGACGACCGGACCAGCAAGUCCUCCACCGCGCUCCCGCGCCACGACUUCUCGCUCGCCGGCUUCGGCCGCGACCGCGAGAGGGCGCGGUCCCGCGCCCCCGGCGCCGCCGCUCACGCCAAGAACCUCCGUACCGCACGCGCUCGCGGCGCGGGUGCGCGCGCCGUCUCCGCGGCCUCCUCCACGGUGGAACCGGAGAACUCGCGCUCCAGCGUCGAGUCUGACCUCCGCAGCACUGGCGCUGCUCACGCGCGAAAAUCAAGCGCUGGCAUCAGCAGUAAUGGCGUUCACAAGUUUCUCUACACUGAUGGCGACCACAGCGACGAUGAAGCUCCAAGUGAGCACUUGCGAUCUGCAGCUGGAGGUUUCUAUAAGGAGAAUGGGAGUGCAGUAGGGAGAAUGGCAAUGGGGAAUGGUGAUUUGUAUGCCCAUGAUCACGGAUUUCAUGAAGGGAGCAUCGGCAAGGGUGAGAAUGGAGGGAUCCAUUCAGGUCUUGAUCCGUACGCCGACUCAAUUUCGAUGCUUCAGUCAGCACAAGAAGCACUUGAGAAUGAGCUCCAAAUGUUUGUGGAAAUCGGGAAAGAAAGCAGUGACAAUUCCACAGACAAUUCCGAUGAAAAUGAAUGGAGCAGUUCACCCAAUUGCGAAGAUUUUUCAGAAGAAAUAAGUGAAAAGUUGAAGCUUCUAGAGUCCAAGCUGGAAGAAGCUUCCCUUCUCAUCGAUGAGAAGGAUUCGAGAAUACUUGAACUUGAUACACUCAACAAGACAAAACCAGGGGAAACCGCACUAUACAAUAGCAAGCUACUUUCCCUACAGUCUGAAGUUGAUCAACUGCUCAUGGAGAAGAUGGAGGCCGAUAUCCAGUGCUUCAUCCUGAAAAGAGCUUCAGAAGCUUGGCAGCCCCAGACUGAGGGUCAGGGCGCUCUUCAAGAAGCUCAGAAGACUCUGUCCGAGGAUCACAAACAGCUGGAGGUCAAGCUUCGGCACACCGAGAACAGAGCGAGGACGCUAGAGGAUUUGGUGGAGAAGCUAGAGUCACAGUGCAAAGAGCUCUCAAACGCUUCAGAGGUCCUGAAGCUGCAGGCCGGAGCGAGUCGAGCUUCACUUUUUUGUUCGGUUCAGUUAGUGCUGCUGUGCAUCGCAGUGUGGACAUUCGUCGCGCGGUUCUUGCCCUCUCCCCCCGAAUUUGUACCUACUUGA